ACUUAGGUCACUUAGGGUGUGAAUGUGAAAUGUCUCCCUCAGGCUGUUUCAACACCCGGCCCAAAACUGGGAGUUUUGCUCUUUUGGGGGGGGGGUGUGAAUCCCUUGGUAGGUAAAGGGUGGCCUGGCUGGAAGAGCUUCUCUCUGAAGGGCAGGUCUUGCUGCUGCUCGUAGAACACCCUGCUUCUAGCCUUCCUCUCUCUGCUUCCAAUAACGCAUGAGGCAGAGAAGGGUCCUAGCCGCACGCUCCCUCCAAUGUGGUGCCACCAGCUUCUAUGCCUUCCUCCAACCUGACCCUCAGGCUACAUGUCACACCAGCCCCUUCUACCUCAGUCACUUCUCAAAGGUGUUUUGUCUCAGCCACAAGGGGAGUGACGGGACCAGAGUCUCUACAAACCUGAACCGCAGCAAACACACAUGGAUCAACUGAAGCCACUGGUCAGGAGCCUUUCGAGCAAGCCUCUCUGGUUUACCGCGGUAUGGAGGAGCCAAGAGGGGCACCUUUUCUCAGAGACUAAAAUGAUGCUUGACAAUUUGUGGAGCAAGACUACAACAAUUUCUCAGCAAAGUUCCAUGCUGCCAAAUGGUCAGGAAAGUUUAAUUUUGUCGACGAAAGAGACUGAAAAGCAGUAACAAAGCCAAGAAGCCAAGGUACUACAUGAAGCCUACAGACAGGAACAACGGCAGAAACCAUUAUUUUCCUGGGUUUAUGUAAAAAGACAACCCAAGAAAGAGUCUCACAUGGAGGCACACACAAAACCAGCCUCCGACGCCGCUUUGAAGACAUCUUUUAAAUGAACGGUCUUGGUGUCCUACAGUUCAUCAAAGGUUUGCUGUCUCUGAAAGGGAAAUGCAGGUCCUGGCUGUGAUAUUAUUUGUGGAAAUAACUCCUCCCACAACUGGCAUUACAUGUCACACCAACAGUUGUGGUAACUUGGCAGACUUAGCACGACCACCAGGCUCACUCAGCAUUGAGUACUUCCCAAAACUCAGGCGCCUUCGCCUUCCAGCAGAUGGCCUGGCACCAUAGAGAUAACCCAUCGCUUAACAAUGCUUCCUUAACACCUGUACUCCCUGGCGAGAUCUCCUGCUCAUCACCUGCUUCUGACAGCCCCCUGCCUCAUUCCUCCCUGUCUAACAACCUCCAAUGUUCCUCUGCCCAUCCCAGGCCAUGCUCCCCUACAUAAGCUCCUAUGAAAAUUCUCAAUAAACAGAGCUUGAUUGUCUUGCUCUCAUUCAACGUG
Molecule: long non-coding RNA, 1244 nt
Organism: Mesocricetus auratus (golden hamster)
Lineage: Eukaryota; Metazoa; Chordata; Mammalia; Rodentia; Cricetidae
Exons: 5
Source: RefSeq, a predicted model, not a curated record